Molecule: ribosomal RNA, 506 nt
Filed under: uncultured bacterium
Lineage: Bacteria
Description: partial 16S ribosomal RNA
Rfam family: Bacterial small subunit ribosomal RNA
Source: RNAcentral
GACGAACGCUGGCGGCGUGCUUAACACAUGCAAGUCGAACGGGCCUUGUCCCCUUUUUUUGGGGGUGGGGUUAGUGGCGAACGGGUGAGUAACACGUGAGUAACCUGCCCCUCACUUCUGGAUAACCGCUUGAAAGGGUGGCUAAUACGGGGUGUUCUGGCCUGCUCGCAUGGGUGGGUUUGGAAAGAUUCGACCGGUUUUGGUUGUUUUGGUGGGGGAUGGGCUCGCGGCCUAUCAGCUUGUUGGUGGGGUGAUGGCCUGCCAAGGCUUUGACGGGUAGCCGGCCUGAGAGGGUGGGCGGUCACACUGGGACUGAGACACGGCCCAGACUCCUACGGGAGGCAGCAGUGGGGAAUAUUGCACAAUGGGCGCAAGCCUGAUGCAGCGACGCCGCGUGAGGGAUGGAGGCCUUCGGGUUGUGAACCUCUUUCGCCAGUGAAGAAGGUCCUGCUCUUUGUGGUGGGGUUGACGGUAGCGGGGUUAAUGAAGCGCCGGCUAACUACGUG